UCGAACGGUGAAGCCAAGCUUGCUUGGUGGAUCAGUGGCGAACGGGUGAGUAACACGUGAGCAACCUGCCCUGGACUCUGGGAUAAGCGCUGGAAACGGCGUCUAAUACUGGAUAUGAGCUCUUACCGCAUGGUGGGGGUUGGAAAGAUUUUUCGGUCUGGGAUGGGCUCGCGGCCUAUCAGCUUGUUGGUGAGGUAAUGGCUCACCAAGGCGUCGACGGGUAGCCGGCCUGAGAGGGUGACCGGCCACACUGGGACUGAGACACGGCCCAGACUCCUACGGGAGGCAGCAGUGGGGAAUAUUGCACAAUGGGCGGAAGCCUGAUGCAGCAACGCCGCGUGAGGGAUGACGGCCUUCGGGUUGUAAACCUCUUUUAGCAGGGAAGAAGCGUGAGUGACGGUACCUGCAGAAAAAGCGCCGGCUAACUACGUGCCAGCAGCCGCGGUAAUACGUAGGGCGCAAGCGUUAUCCGGAAUUAUUGGGCGUAAAGAGCUCGUAGGCGGUUUGUCGCGUCUGCUGUGAAAUCCCGAGGCUCAACCUCGGGCCUGCAGUGGGUACGGGCAGACUAGAGUGCGGUAGGGGAGAUUGGAAUUCCUGGUGUAGCGGUGGAAUGCGCAGAUAUCAGGAGGAACACCGAUGGCGAAGGCAGAUCUCUGGGCCGUAACUGACGCUGAGGAGCGAAAGGGUGGGGAGCAAACAGGCUUAGAUACCCUGGUAGUCCACCCCGUAAACGUUGGGAACUAGUUGUGGGGACCAUUCCACGGUUUCCGUGACGCAGCUAACGCAUUAAGUUCCCCGCC
RNAcentral lists this ribosomal RNA (800 nucleotides) under Microbacterium sp. 2P1G8. RNAcentral describes it as "bacterial SSU rRNA". It matches the Rfam family "Bacterial small subunit ribosomal RNA", at positions 62 to 873 of the family's 1533-position model. The record is from RNAcentral. Lineage: Bacteria; Bacillati; Actinomycetota; Actinomycetes; Micrococcales; Microbacteriaceae.